AAAUUUCUUUUUGGACCUACUGAAAACAUUUUAGAUGUUCUCUGACAAACUUUAAAGCCUUUUCAAGACCUAGAAAUUAGCUCAGAGUGGGAAAUAAAUCCGUCAGCUCAUAUGUUACAUGGACUGAGCUGAACCUUUAUGCUGAAAAAGCCCUUCCAUGCUGGGACUCUCUUGUGAAGAGCAGAUUCACCCCAUUGGUAUGUCUCCCUCCAGAAUCCAGGACAUGCCCAUCCUUUCAAAUGAUAGAAACAUCAAUUAUGCUGGGCUACAGCACAGUUGUCCUCCUACACCAGAUACUCUAAAUUGAAAAAAAUCCCAGUACCAGCCAAAGAGUCUUUGAAAAGCCCUGGGCCUAAUGACUAAUUUGCUUUCUAUACAAAGACUUUGUAUGGAAUUUGUUACAUGUGUGACACGGUUCUGCUGAGCUCCAUUUUUCA
Molecule: non-coding RNA, 437 nt
Organism: Lonchura striata (white-rumped munia)
Lineage: Eukaryota; Metazoa; Chordata; Aves; Passeriformes; Estrildidae
Source: RefSeq, a predicted model, not a curated record